GACGGAGGGAGCAAGCGUUGUUCGGAUUUACUGGGCGUAAAGGGCGUCUAGGCGGAUUGGUCAGUCAGGUGUGAAAACCUUCGGCUCAACCGGAGAUCUGCACUUGAUACUGCCAAUCUUGAGUAUGGAAGAGGAAAGCGGAAUUCCAGGUGUAGCGGUGAAAUGCGUAGAUAUCUGGAAGAACACCGGUGGCGAAGGCGGCUUUCUGGUCCAAUACUGACGCUAAAGCGCGAAAGUGUGGGGAGCAAACAGGAUUAGAUACCCUGGUAGUCCACACUGUAAACGAUGGAUACUAGGUGUCGGGGGUAUCGACCCCUCCGGUGCCGCAGCUAACGCAUUAAGUAUCCCGCCUGGGGAGUACGGUCGCAAGGCUG
This 374-nucleotide ribosomal RNA is filed under the name uncultured prokaryote. RNAcentral's name for it is "bacterial SSU rRNA". It matches the Rfam family "Bacterial small subunit ribosomal RNA", at positions 524 to 896 of the family's 1533-position model. The record is from RNAcentral.